Peromyscus eremicus (cactus mouse) is the source of this 2528-nucleotide long non-coding RNA. RefSeq lists it as uncharacterized. Lineage: Eukaryota; Metazoa; Chordata; Mammalia; Rodentia; Cricetidae. The record is from RefSeq and is a predicted model, not a curated record. The transcript is spliced from 5 exons.
UCCAGCACUCCAAGAGGCUGGGGAAGUAGAAUCAAAAAAAGUUCAAGGCCAGUCUGGAAUACAUACCAAGACCCUGUCUAAAAACUCCAGAUGUGAGUCCAGAAAUGAUUCUGGGCUAGAGACUGAACCCGGGGCCUAGUACACACUAAGUACACAAACUUUCAUUGACUUCAACUGCUAGAUUCUCAUGUAAUCCAGAUUCACCUGGAACUCAACUGUGGAGCCAUGCAUAGCUUUGGCCUUGAAAUCUUUUUCCUAUUUUCACCUUCCAUGUGCUAGGAUUACAGGUGCCAUCACUCCUGGCUCCAGGAAAUUCUUACACAGGAAAAUUUUAAAACAGCUGUCCUAAAUUAAAGGAGACUGAAGAUGCAGGACAAUAAAAGUCAGUUCAGCAUCCUUACUUGGAGCCUAGAACCAAAAUGGAAACAUUUUAGUACUAUUUGUUGGGCAUAGUAAUCCCAGCUCUGGUGCAAGCAGGAGAAUCAGACAUUCAAGGUCAUCCUUGGCUACAUAGCAAGUUCCAGGCCAGCUUGGGCUAUAUGAAACCCAAUAUCAAAAAAAAAAAAGUAAGACAAAAAUCAUUAGAAAUGUCAGGCGUGAUGAUACAUGCCUUUAAUCCCAACACUUGGGAGGCAGAGGCAGGCAGAUUUGAGUUUGAGGUUAGCCUAGUCUACAGAGUGAAUUCCAGAACAGGAUAGACAGGGCUACCUAGAGAAAGCCUGUCUCAAAACCAAAAAAGAAAAAUGCUGUCACAGAGAAGUCCGGAAGAGGUUAGCACACAAAACCCUCUUUUGUGGGUUGAAUUAUGUCCCCUACUAGCUACUAGAGCCUAAGUCUUCUACUGCUCGGAGUGUGUGUGUAUUUGAAAGUAGGGCAUUGUGUUGGAUUAUCCGAGAUAAUGUCUUAGAAUAGGCUGGGCUCUUCAGGAAAUCUGGCCAAUGUUUUGUAAGAAGUGGGGAAGAGACAGACACAGUGAGAACAAACUGAAGAUGACACUCGGGAGGGGUGAUGCCUCAGGUCACUGGUCACCCAAGAAACUCAGAGAACAGCCUGGGACCAAUAUCUCCUGAACCUUCAGAGAGCCAGGGCCAGCCAGCACCUUCAUUUUGGACUUCUGGCCUCCCAAACCAGAAAAUAAAUGUCUUGUUAAAUCUCCCCUCCCCCAAUGGCUCUCUGCUGUUACAGCCCUAGGACACACAUAGUCGCUCCAGCUCACAAACAGGCAGGCUCAGAAUCCAGGUGACCCAACCACUGUAUCAUUAUGCUGGCUCAAUCUUUUUGUCCCUGCCAUUUUGGCCUGACGCUAGAAACACAGCUCAAAUGGCAGAUCACCCCAGUUUCAUGUGGGGGGCAGUAGCAGGGGCAGACAAAGCUAACAGUUGCCCCCGUGGAACACUAUAGCCCCAAGCCGUCAAGCUGACUGUCCAGAAGACCCUGAAUCUCAAGCAGAAGCUUAAAGAAAAUUCCAGAACACUGAGGAGGAAGUUGAUUCUGCCAAGAUUCUCAAAGCACUUUUCCAUUCCAUUGUCAUUCCUUGCCUAUGGUGAUAAGUGAACCAUUUCUUCAAAACAUUUGAGGGCAGAUGGCAUAGUUCAAUGGUACAAAACUUGCCUAGCAUGUAUAAGACUCUGGGUUCAAUACCCAGCUUUGUUGUGAAAAUUAUAUGGUUAGCCAGGGCAACAAAGUCAGAACCUGCCAUAAGAAGAAAAGAAAAGGAAAAAGAAAAAGAAACUUGUGAGAGACUCAGAGCAAAGAGAGAAAUGGCCACUGGGAUGAAGAGCCAUCUUGUUGCAGGAUUGACUGAAAGCUGCUUCAUUAAAAGGAUCAGGAUUAGCAAGGCUCGGUUUUCUGAAAACCAUUAUGCAGGAUGAGCAGCGCAUACACGCAGUCCCAGCUACUCAGGAGUGGAAGAUGAGGGGAAUCGCUCGAUCCCCAAAAAUCGUGGGCGUCGAGAGAAGCCCGUGGGGCUCCCUGAGCGACCACAAGCUGAAGACCUAAGGGCAUUGUUUCUGUGCUUGCAGGGUGGCAAAGACAGGAAGCCACGCCCCCCUGAGAAACUCAACAGAGUCUCCACCUUAGACUACUAGCAAUAGUGGAGAGGGUGCCUGAACUGGCCUACUCCGGUAAUCAGACUGGUGAAUACCCUAACUAAUCAUAGAGCCUUCGUGCAGUAACUGAUGGAAGCAGAUGCAGAGAUCCACAGCCAAGCACCAGGCCGAGCUCCAGGAGUCCAGCUGAAGAGGGAGAAGAGGGAUUGUAUGAGCAAAGUGGGGGAGGGGCCCAAGAUCAUGAUGGGGAACCCUACAGAGACAACCAAACCAAGCUAGUGGGAACUCGUGAACUGGACCAACAGCUGUGGAACCUCCACGGGACUGGACUAGGCCCUCUGCAUAAGCCAGACAGUUGUGUAGCUUGACCUGCUUAAGGGGCCCCUGGCAGUGGGAUCAAGAUCUGUCUCUGGUGCAUAUGUGGGCCUUUUGGAGCCCACUGCCUAUGGUGGAACACCUCACAUGGCCUUGAGGCGGGGG